RNAcentral lists this ribosomal RNA (497 nucleotides) under uncultured bacterium. Its description in RNAcentral is "partial 16S ribosomal RNA". It matches the Rfam family "Bacterial small subunit ribosomal RNA", at positions 28 to 507 of the family's 1533-position model. The record is from RNAcentral.
GAUGAACGCUGGCGGCGUGCCUAAUACAUGCAAGUCGAGCGAACAGACGAGGAGCUUGCUCCUCUGACGUUAGCGGCGGACGGGUGAGUAACACGUGGAUACCCUACCUAUAAGACUGGGAUAACUUCGGGAAACCGGAGCUAAUACCGGAUAAUAUAUUGAACCGCAUGGGUCAAUAGUGAAAGACGGUUUUGCUGUCACUUAUAGAUGGAUCCGCGCCGCAUUAGCUAGUUGGUAAGGUCACGGCUUACCAAGGCGACGAUGCGUAGCCGACCUGCGAGGGUGAUAGGCCACACUGGAACUGAGACACGGUCCAGACUCCUACGGGAGGCAGCAGUAGGGAAUCGUCCGCAAAGGGCGAAAGCCUGACGGAGCAACGCCGCGUGAGUGAUGAAGGUCUUCGGAUCGUAAAACUCUGUUAUUAGGGAAGAACAAAUGUGUAAGUAACUAUGCACGUCUUGACGGUACCUAAUCAGAAAGCCACGGCUAACUACGUG